Bufo bufo (common toad) is the source of this 160-nucleotide long non-coding RNA. RefSeq lists it as uncharacterized. NCBI's taxonomy places the organism in Eukaryota, Metazoa, Chordata, Amphibia, Anura, Bufonidae. The transcript has 3 exons. The record is from RefSeq and is a predicted model, not a curated record.
UACUCAGCUUUUCCGGCAGUUUCAUUUUGCUCCUUAAUAAAGCCGGCUUUUGCUUCAGUCUCCUUAUCUGCUGUACUGUACUUGAAUCCUGCUUUGCGGUCUCUUCCUCUUCUGACCGCUACAAGUGGCGCUGCGAGCAGGGUACUGUCAGAGAGAUGGA